CUACGUGCCAGCAGCCGCGGUAAUACGGAGGGUGCGAGCGUUAAUCGGAAUAACUGGGCGUAAAGGGCACGCAGGCGGUGACUUAAGUGAGGUGUGAAAGCCCCGGGCUUAACCUGGGAAUUGCAUUUCAUACUGGGUCGCUAGAGUACUUUAGGGAGGGGUAGAAUUCCGCGUGUAGCGGUGAAAUGCGUAGAGAUGUGGAGGAAUACCGAAGGCGAAGGCAGCCCCUUGGGAAUGUACUGACGCUCAUGUGCGAAAGCGUGGGGAGCAAACAGGAUUAGAUACCCUGGUAGUCCACGCUGUAAACGAUGUCGAUUUGGAGGUUGAGCUUUAAGUUUGGCGCCCGUAGCUAACGUGAUAAAUCGACCGCCUGGGGAGUACGGCCGCAAGGUUAAAACUCAAAUGAAUUGACGGGGGCCCGCACAAGCGGUGGAGCAUGUGGUUUAAUUCGAUGCAACGCGAAGAACCUUACCUACUCUUGACAUCCAGAGAAC
RNAcentral lists this ribosomal RNA (494 nucleotides) under uncultured bacterium. RNAcentral describes it as "bacterial SSU rRNA". It matches the Rfam family "Bacterial small subunit ribosomal RNA", at positions 501 to 996 of the family's 1533-position model. The record is from RNAcentral.